This 213-nucleotide long non-coding RNA is filed under the name Lathyrus oleraceus (garden pea). RNAcentral describes it as "Pisum sativum (pea) long non-coding RNA (PSAT_LNC002879)". The record is from RNAcentral. Lineage: Eukaryota; Viridiplantae; Streptophyta; Magnoliopsida; Fabales; Fabaceae.
UCUCUUCAAAGUCAAAGUUUUAUUUUCCUUGUACCAGAUUUAAAGCCUCCGUUUGGAGAAGGUUAUAAUUUAAUUGCUUUUAUUUAUUUUACUUGUCAUUCUUUACUUUAUUUAAUUUCUUGGCACGCUUUACUUAAUUUAUUUCCUUGUCAUCGUCUUUACAUUAUUUAAUUUUCUCGCCGUUAUCUUUAUUGCUCGUUUUAAUCAUUUUAC